Molecule: ribosomal RNA, 483 nt
Filed under: uncultured bacterium
Lineage: Bacteria
Description: partial 16S ribosomal RNA
Rfam family: Bacterial small subunit ribosomal RNA
Source: RNAcentral
GACGAACGCUGGCGGCGUGCUUAACACAUGCAAGUCGAACGAUGAAGCUGGAGCUUGCUCCGGUGGAUUAGUGGCGAACGGGUGAGUAACACGUGAGCAAUCUGCCCUUGACUCUGGGAUAACUGCGGGAAACUGUAGCUAAUACCGGAUACGAGAUUUGGAGGCAUCUCCGGAUCUGGAAAGAAUUUCGGUCAAGGAUGAGCUCGCGGCCUAUCAGCUUGUUGGUGAGGUAAUGGCUCACCAAGGCGACGACGGGUAGCCGGCCUGAGAGGGUGACCGGCCACACUGGGACUGAGACACGGCCCAGACUCCUACGGGAGGCAGCAGUGGGGAAUAUUGCACAAUGGGCGAAAGCCUGAUGCAGCAACGCCGCGUGAGGGAUGAAGGCCUUCGGGUUGUAAACCUCUUUUAGUAGGGAAGAAGCGAAAGUGACGGUACCUGCAGAAGAAGCACCGGCCAACUACGUGCCAGCCGCCGCAGUAA